This 810-nucleotide ribosomal RNA is filed under the name uncultured archaeon. Its description in RNAcentral is "bacterial SSU rRNA". It matches the Rfam family "Archaeal small subunit ribosomal RNA", at positions 91 to 903 of the family's 1478-position model. The record is from RNAcentral.
CAGUAACGCGUAGUCAACCUACCCUAUGGACGGGAAUAACCUCGGGAAACUGAGUAUAAUGCCCGAUAGAACACUAUACCUGGAAUGGUUUGUGUUCCAAUGAUUUAUCGCCAUAGGAUGGGACUGCGGCCUAUCAGUUUGUUGGUGAGGUAAUGGCCCACCAAGACUAUUACAGGUACGGGCUCUGAGAGGAGUGGCCCGGAGAUGGGUACUGAGACACGGACCCAGGCCCUAUGGGGCGCAGCAGGCGAGAAAACUUUGCAAUGUGCGAAAGCACGACAAGGUUAAUCCGAGUGGUUUCUGCUAAAGGAACCUUUUGUCAGUCCUAGAAACACUAACGAAUAAGGGGUGGGCAAGUUCUGGUGUCAGCCGCCGCGGUAAAACCAGCACCUCAAGUGGUCAGGAUGAUUAUUGGGCCUAAAGCAUCCGUAGCCGGCUCUGUUAGUUUUCGGUUAAAUCUGUACGCUUAACGUACAGGCUGCCGGGAAUACUGCAGAGCUAGGGAGUGGGAGAGGUAGACGGUACUCGGUAGGAAGGGGUAAAAUCCUUUGAUCUAUUGAUGACCACCUGUGGCGAAGGCGGUCUACCAAAACACGUCCGACGGUGAGGGAUGAAAGCUGGGGGAGCAAACCGGAUUAGAUACCCGGGUAGUCCCAGCUGUAAACUAUGCAAACUCAGUGAUGCAUUGGCUUGUGGCCAAUGCAGUGCUGCAGGGAAGCCGUUAAGUUUGCCGCCUGGGAAGUACGUACGCAAGUAUGAAACUUAAAGGAAUUGGCGGGGGAGCACCACAAGGGGUGAAGCCUGCGGUUC